UGAAAAUAUAAUUUCUAUAUUUUUUUUUAAUAUAUUUUGAUGAGGCCAAGAACAAAACAUGUUGUGAUAGCAUUAACAAAUCUGAAAAUUUAUAGGGUCUGGUGGAUAUUUUCAUCAUUUAGCAUAAAUUUUUAUUUAUCAAAUAUCAUACAUAUGUUAAUAUGGAAUAUAAUCAAACUAUAGAAACUUCAAGCCUUUUCUGAAUCUAAUAUUAUAGAGGUGAGGAUCUCAUCCUCAAAAUAAAGUAAAAUUACAACAACAAAAAUCAAUGUUUAACCAUAAUUAAAGAAUAACUAAUCGAAGAAUUCAAAUAGAGAAAAAUAUUCAACGAGUGACCAAACAACACAUUAAUUCAUGAAUGCGCACAGCGCAUGAGUUAAUUAUCAGUGUUGUUCGGUCACGAGUUGAAUAUUUUUCCAUAUUUGAAUUCUUUGAUUAGUUAUUCUUGUUAUUACAUUGGCAAAUGGCUUUUUUUUUAUGAAAUUAAAGUAGAAAAUGUAAGGAACUAUAUCUUUUUCUACGCAUUCACAAUUUGUUUUGAUCCGACGUUAUCCAUGUCUUGACAAUGCCUAUUGUUGUAUGACGUCAGAGGACUGAAAUAACCUCGUUUAUUUCACAUGUGAAAUUAUCGGUUUUUAUUUCACUGGGAAAUCAAUGUAAUUCAUUGCAACCAAUGUAAUAAUGCUGGAUAUUGAAACUGAUUUGGCAGAUAACACAUUGACCACAAUGUCCAAUUUUCUUCCCAUUUUUCAUAAAUAAAAAGGUAAUACACAAAAGUUUGAAUGGGUGGUGAAUAAAAGACCGACAUACACAUACUUGUACCACAACAAUACUUUUCUUUUGUCUUAAACAACUCUGUCAAGAAUUACUAGGCCAAAAGAUAAAGUUGUAGUGAUACCAUAUACAUGUACAUUCAUCACAGACUCAAAAUUUUCAAAAUCUAUUCAUUUUACUUGCUUUACUUAAUAAUAAAGAAACUAAUGGUUUACAGCAACAUUUACAGAAUUUGAGAAAGACAAUAUCAUUUAUUACAGUUGUGUUACAAUUCUUUAAAUUUGUUUCUAUAUCUGUUUCUGGUGGGGAAAUACUUUAACAAGUUUUAAAAUGAAACAUCUUCCCAACUACAUAAGUUAAUCAAGCAUACAUAAUUAACAGAAUGUAUUUGUCUCAAAAUGUUUUUGCAGCUGCCAUACUUUCAACACUACAUGAUUAAAAGCAAGGUAAAUGUGAUGCACAACUACAAGCUACAAUUGUGGACAAAUAACUACGUCAUCACAAAGUAAAAAGAGAGGACAAAUAGUUAGGACAUAUCAUUGCAUAGAAAAAUCAAGACCAUACAUCAAAUUGCUUUAUAUUAUCAUUCAAUAGGUAAUUUUCAUGCACAUUAAUUCAGAAAAAAGGCAACCUUCUAACAUUCAGACAUUACUAUUACACAUAAUUGUCAUGCAGUCUGGUUUUAUUGGUCUGAAUCUAAGAUUCCCAUCUUUACUGUUUGAUUUCUCAUUUUUUAGCAUUGUUGGCUUUUUAAAUGGUUGUGGGAGGGUACAAAAGGAUUUCUUUAAUACCCCACAAAUAUUUUUUUUCUCUGAGUAAGUUUACAUUUCAUCAAAUGGACUUUCCACCAUAAAUGACCCUUGCCCAAACAUGAACUUUCCUUCAUAUUCUAAUGAAAUAACCAAUAUUAUUUUUACAAUUAAUUGUUAUCACCAUGUUUAAUUCUUUUAAUAUGAACUGGGUAUGUUUAAAAAAUCAAAAAUUAAACUGACAUGAAUAGUUUCUUGUGAUAAGUAUUCUUAUACCUAGGAAUUCUUUCAUCAUAGCUAAAACAAAAGUACGGUUAGAACACAACAUAAAUUGCACUCGGUUAGCACUAUAGACAAAAACAAAAUAAACACAAUAGUAACAGCACCAAAUCUCCCUAGUCAUGGCAAUAACAUAAACUACUAUUUGUUAUAUUGGUAAUCUACAAUGCACACUAAAAACUAGGUCAAUCCACACAAAAUAAAUUUUGGUAAAUGGGUUACAUUAAAAAUAAAAUGUUAGUGGCAUGAGUUUCUAAAUAUGUAAAAUUGUUAAAUCAAGAGUGAGAGAAAGACUAUAUCAUGAAU
RNAcentral lists this long non-coding RNA (2108 nucleotides) under Mytilus galloprovincialis (Mediterranean mussel). The record is from RNAcentral. Lineage: Eukaryota; Metazoa; Mollusca; Bivalvia; Mytilida; Mytilidae.